Oenanthe melanoleuca is the source of this 653-nucleotide long non-coding RNA. RefSeq lists it as uncharacterized. The record is from RefSeq and is a predicted model, not a curated record. The transcript is spliced from 3 exons. Lineage: Eukaryota; Metazoa; Chordata; Aves; Passeriformes; Muscicapidae.
CCAAAGGUGAGGAGGUAGGGUCACCAUGGUCUAUUCCCAAGACCACCCUAUUGCUCCAGCAGUGUAUUGAUUUGUGGAUCUCUGCAAAGCACACAGACCAGGUCAGAGAUGUCCCUACGUUUCUUUUUGCUCCCUUGAAGGGCUGCUGUGAAGUUACAGUCACAAUAUAAGAUGACAAGAAGUUCAAGACAAGAUAAAGGACCCCAGUGAGAUUGGACACUGAGAGUUUUUAUAGGUUUUCUCCUCAUAAAUGGAGCCAGCAAUCUGCCCUUGUGCCCUGUGCAGCUGUAGAAGGACCAUAGUCCUUGCCAAGAGUAUGGGGGGCCCAGAGGAACAAAGAAGUGAUGAAAUCUGAGGUUGCAUGCAGGGAAUUUUCAUCAGAGGGAGUAGCAAUAGAGGAAGACUAACAUUCUUCAGUACUGCUGGGAUGGGUCAAUCCAAUUCAGAUACUUUAGAAAUGAAAGGAAAAAGUAUGUGAACAAGAAAUUUCUGGAAGUUAAAGAUGUAUAGGGUGCAGUAAGUACCUCACAAGCAUGAGAUAUGGCAACUUUUAAAUUCUAUUAUUAAAAGACUUUCUGAGAGGGAGAUUGUAACUAGAAUUCAAGGAUAAGUAUACAUGAGCACCAUCUGGCUCUUUAGUUUCUGUUCUUUAA